RNAcentral lists this long non-coding RNA (786 nucleotides) under Homo sapiens (human). RNAcentral's name for it is "HSALNT0355904". The record is from RNAcentral. Lineage: Eukaryota; Metazoa; Chordata; Mammalia; Primates; Hominidae.
ACACAACUCCACAUGACUCAGAAGCCCUUCUUAAAAUAAGACCAGACCACAUUCAUGGAGGCUGAGUCACCUCUAACCUUCCAAACUUGGUGAGGAUUACUAACCAGAACAUAUUUUUAUUCCUAAGAUAGUAUGAGAAAGUUCUGAUCUUGACAGUUCACGUAACAUUCAAUCAAUUAUACCAUUGCUCUAUCUCUAAAGUUUUCUUUUUCUCCUUUUCUCAGUGUCUUACCAAGAAUGAAAGGCAACCUAUGUAAAAACUAUGGGCUUUCUAGUAUAAAUAAAAACUACUCAUCUCCAGAAAAUAAACAAUGACUGCUAAGAUGAUUGAAAAAAGAAAGGAGAAGAAAGUAGCUUGUAAAAGCGUGUGAAAUGCAUUCACGUUGGAAUCUCCUACAGGCACUUCAGGUUAUGAGGAAACCAGCUCCAUUGAACAGUAAACAGUUUUAGUAAACCUGAGCUUAUCAACAGAAACUUCAGCAACUCAUCUGAGAAUAAGACGAAGUGCUCCUGAUGGCUGCUUUCAAUCACUGGAAGAACCAUGAAAGUGCGAGAGAUUCCUCCCGGUGAAUGAAGCCAGCUCACCACCGUCAAGGGCAAGGGAUCAGCGUGUGUUCACAUGGAGGCCUCUCACCGAGGGAACCCAAGGGGGACAGCACAGGAAUUGCAGAGCCAGCACCCAUGGAAUGGGCAGGGAUUUGGGUUUCAUCCAACCAGCCAGUUGAUCAAUAAUCACUGAAUGUCUGUCACCCAUUGCAUCCUCUCCUGAGUAGUGAGGCUAGGCCA